This 85-nucleotide transfer RNA is filed under the name Actinomycetes bacterium. RNAcentral describes it as "Actinobacteria bacterium tRNA-Tyr". It matches the Rfam family "tRNA". From Rfam's summary of the family: Transfer RNA (tRNA) molecules are approximately 80 nucleotides in length. Lineage: Bacteria; Bacillati; Actinomycetota; Actinomycetes. The record is from RNAcentral.
GGUGGGGUACCCAAGCGGCCAACGGGGCCUGACUGUAAAUCAGGUGGCUCAGCCUUCGGAGGUUCGAACCCUCCCCCCACCACGA